This 758-nucleotide ribosomal RNA is filed under the name Vibrio chagasii. Its description in RNAcentral is "bacterial SSU rRNA". It matches the Rfam family "Bacterial small subunit ribosomal RNA", at positions 62 to 796 of the family's 1533-position model. Lineage: Bacteria; Pseudomonadati; Pseudomonadota; Gammaproteobacteria; Vibrionales; Vibrionaceae. The record is from RNAcentral. RNAcentral also lists the same sequence under 1 other name.
UCGAGCGGAACGAGUUAUCUGAACCUUCGGGGGAACGAUAACGGCGUCCAGCGGCGGACGGGUGAGUAAUGCCUAGGAAAUUGCCUUGAUGUGGGGGAUAACCAUUGGAAACGAUGGCUAAUACCGCAUAAUGCCUACGGGCCAAAGAGGGGGACCUUCGGGCCUCUCGCGUCAAGAUAUGCCUAGGUGGGAUUAGCUAGUUGGUGAGGUAAUGGCUCACCAAGGCGACGAUCCCUAGCUGGUCUGAGAGGAUGAUCAGCCACACUGGAACUGAGACACGGUCCAGACUCCUACGGGAGGCAGCAGUGGGGAAUAUUGCACAAUGGGCGAAAGCCUGAUGCAGCCAUGCCGCGUGUAUGAAGAAGGCCUUCGGGUUGUAAAGUACUUUCAGUUGUGAGGAAGGGGGUGUCGUUAAUAGCGGCAUCUCUUGACGUUAGCAACAGAAGAAGCACCGGCUAACUCCGUGCCAGCAGCCGCGGUAAUACGGAGGGUGCGAGCGUUAAUCGGAAUUACUGGGCGUAAAGCGCAUGCAGGUGGUUCAUUAAGUCAGAUGUGAAAGCCCGGGGCUCAACCUCGGAACUGCAUUUGAAACUGGUGAACUAGAGUACUGUAGAGGGGGGUAGAAUUUCAGUGUAGCGGUGAAAUGCGUAGAGAUCUGAAAGGAAUACCAGUGGCGAAAGGCGGCCCCCUGGACAGAUACUGACACUCAGAUGCGAAAGCGUGGGGAGCAAACAGGAUUAGGAUACCCUGGGUAGUCC